Molecule: long non-coding RNA, 8750 nt
Filed under: Triticum aestivum (bread wheat)
Lineage: Eukaryota; Viridiplantae; Streptophyta; Magnoliopsida; Poales; Poaceae
Description: long non-coding RNA (TAES_LNC005161)
Source: RNAcentral
CUGCCAUGAUGUUACGCACGUGCAAGUCUAUGGUAGUGGUAGGAAUUUGGGGGUACAUCUCCUCGCACUCAGGUGGAAGAAAUUCCUCGCCCUCAAGUCCAACUAAUUCAGGACCUGCAUCUCUGAUAUACCGUGGUGAGUCAUGCUUACUCUCGAUCUCCCCAUUACUUUCCAUUCCAUUUCUUGGAUGAAAGGAAUGCUGAUUUAAUUUAACAUGUUGUUCAAACUCAGAAGCACUUGAUGUGCUCAACUGCUGAUAUAUACAAGAAAUACCGGAUCUUGAUGAAGAUCAUAGUACACUUCAUUCACAAUUUAAAUUCUUAGCCUAUCUAUCAUCAUGUCCAGGUUGGUUCCUUCCUUGAUGCCUUCUCUCUUGACAAUCGAUGAAAUACACAACUAGCUUGCACAUAUUUAAGGAGCACGUACAGUUUCAUUGUGUAAAAAAUAGUAGCAGGUGAGUUUUUAUUCAAAGAAGUCUCCACCAGUCGACCUACAUAUAUAUACAUGCCUAAAUGAUCUCUUUGUUUGUAAACAGUUUAAUAUUUUGGUACUUUUCAUAGGUGGGUAUUUUAGCAGUUCAGCUAUCUGAAAGAGAAAAUGAGUUGCUUCAGCAGAAAACCGAGGUCAUGACAUUAGCCACUUCACUGAAACCGGUCAGUUCAUCACUUCAUCUUUGUUCGUUGGAAAGAUCUGUAUUCUGUUGACCUUUGUAAACACAUUUUAGCAUCAUUAUCCAUUCAGUGUUCUGUUUACCGUGUACUAUUAAAUGCCAUUUUCCAUGUGUAUUUUUGUUGAUUGCUGUUGGAUUUGGAGGCAAACUAAUUUCCUCCUUAAGUAUGAAUUAUCUGCCAUGUGUAUGACUUCGAAAUCUUCAGUUUGAAAUUAUGAAAGUUUGUUCCGCUCUUACAUUAAGCAAGUGUCCAGAGGAAGUUUUGCUUUUGUUUAGGCUCGAGAAACAAACUAUCACGCAGUAUUGUGAAUUUGAAAUGGUGCUCUUCUCUUCCAAAAAUGCAUAGCAAAAUUUCAGGGACCUGCAGAUAGUUUCUUGAGUAACAAAAUUUAGGAGGCCUGACUAAUUUUCUUAUGAUAGUUCAGACAUGCUGCCAAUGAAAUUAAACCCUUUACAGAAAAUAGCAAGUUGUUUACUCAUGUGUUGUUCUGUUAUUAGACUGUCGCGAUAAGUUAUCUUUUAGUUUUUACUGCAUCAAGGUUAAAGCUUUGUUUUCUUUUGAUAGCUGCGCCUUUUUCUUCUACAGUUUACAGAUAUUCUUUUUUUUCGAGAGUAAGCCAAAGACAUACCAUACUUUUAUAGAAGAGAGCAAAUAACAUGUACAAGAAGCCUCGAAAUGGAUGCGAACAUCCACUCUCGACCACACCCCAUUACAACCAAAGCCGGUCUACGCUAAACACCCCAUUACAGAUAAUUAUUUAUAGAUAUUCUGUAACAUCCUCGAUGCGGCUAUAUCUCCCACGUGUCGAAGCACGACUUAGAGGUAUAACCGCAUUGAAAGCAAUGUCGCAAGUGAGGUAAUCUUCACACAACCCAUGUAAUACAUAAGGGAAAGAGAUACAUAGUUGGCUUACAAUCGCCACUUCACACAAUUACAUGAAUAAAGCAUUACAUCAACCAGAUACAAUCAAGGUCCGACUACGGAACCAAAAUAAAAGAAGACUACCCCAAAUGCUACACAGAUCCUCGAUCGUCCCAACUGGACUCCACUACUGAUCAACUGGAAACGGAACAACAUAAAGAACACGAUCUUCAUAGAGCUCCUCCUGGAGCUUGGUUGCGUCACCUGCAAGCUAUCAUCGACACCUGCAAGCUGGUUUUGGAAGUAAUCUGUGAGUCGACUCAGCAAUCUCACACCCUCGCGAUCAAGACUAUUUAAGCUUAUGGGUAAGGUAAAGGUAUGAGGUGGAGCUGCAGCAAGCGACUAGCAUAUAUGGUGGAUAACCUUACGCAAAUGAGAGCGAGAAGAGAAGGCAAAGCACGGUCGAGAAACUAUGAUCAAGAAGUGAUCCUAAAACAACCUACGUCAAGCAUAACUCCAACACCAUGUUCACUUCCCGGACUCCACCGAAAAGAGACCAUCACGGUUACACACGCGGUUGAUGUAUUUUAAUUAAGAUCAACUUCAGGUUUUCUACAACCGGACAUUAACAAAUUCCCAUCUGCCCAUAAUCGCGGGCACGGUUUUCGAAAGUUCAAAUCCCUGCAGGGGUGUCCCAACUUAGCCCAUCACAAGCUCUCACGGUCAACGAAGGAUAUUUCUUCUCCCAAGACAAUCCGAUCAGACUCGGCAUCCCGGUUACAAGACAUCCUCGACAAUGGUAAAACAAGUCCAGCAAAGCCGCCCGAAUGUGCCGACAAAUCCCGAUAGGAGCUGCACAUAUCUCGUUUUCAAGGCACACUCAGAUGAGACAUCCUACGAGAAAAACCAACCCUCAAGUUGCCCCGAGGUGGCCCCGCAGUCUACUCGGUUCGGACCAACACUUAGAGAAGCACUGGCCUGGGGGGUUAAUAAAGAUGACCCUUGAGUCUGCAGAACCCAAGGGAAGGUGGUAGGUUGUUAGUGCAAAUGGUAAAACCAAGGUUGGGCCUUACUGGAGAAGUUUUAUUUAAGGCGAACUCUCAAGGGGUUCCCAUUAUAACCCAACCGUGUAAGGAACGCAAAAUCCGGGAACAUAACACCGAUAUGACGGAAACUAGGGCGGCAAGAGUGGAACAAAACACCAGGCAUAAGGCCGAGCCUUCCACCCUUUACCAAGUAUAUAGAUGCAUUAAUUAAAUAAGAGAUAUUGUGAUAUCCCAAUAAAAUAUCCAUGUUCCAACAAGGAACAAAAUCCAAUCUUCACCUGCAACUAGCAACGCUAUAAGAGGGGCUGAGCAAAGCGGUAACAUAUCCAAACAACGGUUUGCUAGGACAAGGUGGGUUAGAGGCUUGGCUCAACAAUAUGGGAGGCAUGAUAAACAAGUGGUAGGUAUCACGACAUAGGCAUAGCGAAAGAGAGAGCAACUAGCAAGCAAAGAUAGAAAUGAUUUCGAGGGUAUGGUCAUCUUGCCUGAGAUCCCGCAAGGAAGAAGAACGAGUUCAUGAAGAAGACAAACGGACGUAGUCGAACGGAUCCUCACAAACGCAACGUUAUCGAAACUAGCCCGAAGAAGCAACAUCGGAAAGAAGCAAACAACAUAGUAAACAACCACCACAUAAGCAAGGUUGUCAGAAUCGCGAUUCUAUUGUACGAUUCUAUGACUUUACGAUCCAAACUAAGCCCUCUGAUUCUAUGAUUUUGGUUCAUAGAAUCUACGUUUUUACGAUCCUGGUAGUUAAGAUUCUACGAUUUGCGAUCCUGCCAUCGGACUUCCGAUCCGAUUCAGAAUCACGAUUCUGACAACCUUGCACAUAAGCAUGGCACACUAUUAGGGAAAAGCCUAGCAGCAGCGCGGGUUUUGGGCCUAUUAGUAGCGCGGGGGGGCGGCGCUACUAAUAAGGCGCUACAGCUAACGUAUAGCAGUAGCGCGGGUGCCACCCGCGCUACUACUACGUCCGUUAGUAGUAGCAUGGGUAAAAACCCGCGCUACUACUAACCCGCGGAAUUUCUUUUUCAAAUUUUUUGCCCGAAUUUUCAAAUUUCUGAAUUAUUUUAACCUCUAAUCUCUAAUCACCCUCAUCGCUGCUCAAUUUAAUCUCUAAUCACCCCUCAUCAUUCCAAAUCAUCUAACUUCCCGGACGGUCACCCAUCCUCUCACUACUCCAGCCUAAGCACGGUUAACUUCCGGGUUCUAUUCUCCCUCGAUUCCAAGUUUGCACUUGUUGUUUUCCUGACAAUAGUAAGAUGUCAAUCCUAUUAACCCUCCGGAGUUUAGCUUGAGCAUGAAGUCACACAUUUCGCUGUUUGAGUUUAAAACUAUUGUUCUAAAAAACAAUAAUUAUUUAGUAACACUAAUAUUUCUUGAAUAAGGAGUUUGACCACAUUUUCACCAAAGUUUGACCACAGUUUGACCAGAUUUGACCAAAAUUCCAAAAAACUGAAAUAAUUAUUUAGUAACAUAAUAUUCUUGAAUAAUUAUUUAGUAACACUAAUACUCCUUGAAUAAGUAGUUUGACCACAGUUUGACCAGAUUUGACCAAAUUAAAAAAACUGAAAUUUGAGCAUAACUUUUUUUCCUUUUAGAAUUUGAGGAUUCUAAAAAUUUGCAAAUAGGCCAAAGGCCGUCUCCAUCGUAUGUGGAUUUUCGUGCUGAAUAUUUUGAUAUAUUAUACGUUUUUUUCUGGCAUCGUAUGCAAAAGUUAUAGCCGUUUUACAUUUUUCCUACACUUUUUGCAAAACAUGUCCAAAUUUAAGUUUUUUAAUUUUCCUAACUAGUAGAUGUAGUAACAUAACUACAUCUCGAAGGAUUUUAAUUUUUGAAACAUUUUGAUAUAUUAUACGUUUUUUUCUAACAUCGUAUGCAAAAGUUAUAGCCGUUUUACAUUUUCCCUACACUUUUUGCAAAACAUGUCCAAAUUUAAGUUUUUAAAUUUUCCUAACUAUUAGAUGUAGUAACUUAACUACAUCUCGAAGGAUUUUAAUUUUUGAAGUUUUUAUNNNNNNNNNNNNNNNNNNNNNNNNNNNNNNNNNNNNNNNNNNNNNNNNNNNNNNNNNNNNNNNNNNNNNNNNNNNNNNNNNNNNNNNNNNNNNNNNNNNNNNNNNNNNNNNNNNNNNNNNNNNNNNNNNNNNNNNNNNNNNNNNNNNNNNNNNNNNNNNNNNNNNNNNNNNNNNNNNNNNNNNNNNNNNNNNNNNNNNNNNNNNNNNNNNNNNNNNNNNNNNNNNNNNNNNNNNNNNNNNNNNNNNNNNNNNNNNNNNNNNNNNNNNNNNNNNNNNNNNNNNNNNNNNNNNNNNNNUGGUAGAGUUUCAAAAUGGGACCUUUAGUAGUAGCGAGGGUUUUUACCCCUCGCUACUACUAUGGCAUGUCCCGGAGGGGCACGAUUGAGACGUCUUAGUAGUAGCGAGGGGUAAAAACUUAGUAGUAGCGCGGGUUUAUAACCCUCGCUACUACUAUGGCAUGGCCCAGGGGCACGGUAGAGACCGCUUAGUAGUAGCGAGGGGGUAAAAACUAGCGCUACUGCUAUCAACUUAGUAGUAGCGAGGGUUAAAAACCAGCGCUACUGCUAUCAACUUAGUAGUAGCGAGGGUUAAAAACCCGCGCUACUAGUAAGUAGCAGUAGCGAGGGAUAUAAACCCGCGCUGCUAGUAAGCGUCUGUGUAUAAGCUUUUUCCUAGUAGUGGCAUGAUGCACAAUCAAGUAUGAUACAUGUCUGGUUUAAAAAUGCAUGGCAUGGCAAAGUGCACAAACAAAACUACAAAUUAAGUGGAGCUCAAUAUGCAUCGGGAUGCAUAUUGACGGAACACCACAUCAAUUAUUUAGUUCUCUCACGGUUAGGUACUCAACAACAUUAAAGGUUGGUUAACAUGGCAAGAGGUGAAACAUGAGUGAAAAUACACAGCUAGGCAUUUUAAAUGAGGCCGGAAACAACAACAACAAUUCCGGUAUAUCCUCAUGUGCAUUAGCAAUUUAAAGCAAACAACAAUUUUAAACAUCUUAAAGUUGUUAACAUGAUGCAGAUGACAUUUUCAAGUUUAUGCAAUUUUUAUGAAAAAGUUGGCAUGAUAAGAUAUGAGGCAUUUGUCAUCGUGGCGGAAACGAAAGGGGUGCCAUGGCAACAACAAUGGAGAUGGUGCCACGGCAACAUUCUGGCUCCGGUAAUUCGAUUGAGAUACUGAUGCAAAGGAGAAGUGCGGAUGUGGGCAAAAGAUGGUGGGGCGUUCCCGGAUUCCGGGUGUCCCAUGAGUUGGCGACAAGGGAACGAGUGACAAUUUGGACACGGUGCAAACACGAGCAUCUCAAACAUCGCAAGCAUUCGUUCACGGACGUCGUCUCGAGGUUAUACCUUCGAAGUGUGUGUUAUCGGAGGGGUUCGAGUACAAUGCGGUGUAGGGGAAGUAGACGUUCUCGGGAUGUCGAGGGAAGUAGUGGUUCACGCGACGGUAGUCGAAGUAGUCGUCCUAUCGUUAAUCGGUGAUCAUCGGAGCGAUAGUGGUACAUGUUUCUUAGACGUUCGGGCGGCGUUAGUGGGGCACUUUUCCUGUAGAUGUUCGGGUCGAUGAGCGGGUACUUGGCGCAACAUAGGACUCCGGGGUCAUCAGGUACACGUUCACAUUGUGGCCAUACACAUCGAUGGUCUUAGCGAAACCUCGUCAACGGUCGAGAUCCACCUUGGCAAUACGAAGGGGUACUUGGCGUCAUGGUACUUGGGUCUUCGGACUUGCUGGUCUCGGUUCUUGCGACGGUAGUGGUACAAGGUCGUCAUGGGAAGUAGUCGUACUCGCGAACUUGUCGGAUACACGACGACGGUAGUGGAACUUCACGGAUCCGUGGCCUCCGGGCGUAAUGGUACUUGGCGAAUCCUGAAACGUUCUUGCUGAUCCAAAAUGGCACAAGUGAGAAGCACGUCCACGGAGUCUUCCGACUUGGGCUCCGGGUACAGGGUUUGACGAGCCCCGGUAGACGAUGGAGAAAGUCAACAACGUAGCAUCAACAACCAACGAGGCCACGAACAUGACUUGGGGCUCCCCGAACCCAUGAAAACGGCCAACAGGAGGCGGAUGCUAGUGGAGGCAGGGCCACGCCAAGGUCGAAGGUGGCCGGGCGAGCUCGACGGAGGUCGUCCGCGGUCGGACGAAGCAGCAGCAAGGCACGGCAGCAAGCGCGAAGCUGCAGCAGCACAGGUCAGGCGGCACGCGAGAAGAGCAACGGCAGCAGGGCGCGAUGGUGGUGGUCGAACGAGGCAGGGGCUGUCCACGACUGGAGCAGAGGAGGUCGACGAGUGGCGGCGCUGGGUGCUUGUAUGCAGGGAGGCGGAGCGAAGCAGAGCAGCAACGACAAGGCGAACCAGGCCAUGGUGAUGGGGAGACGAUGCAGAGGAGGGUUGGAGGCGCCGGAACGGACGACGGAGGGCGAGGGGCGUGCGGCUUUGCAAACACCAAGCGGAGGAAGAGAAGGGGCGCCAUGCAUGGGGCCUGCAGAGGGGAGGAGGCACGAUGGAGAGGAAAGCUUGGGGCGUCGGCGAGAUGGAGAUGGCACGGCUGCGGGGUGGACCUUCGGCGGCUCUAUGGAUCGAGGAGGAAGGACGCUGAGGAGAUCGGGCGUCGGGUCAACCUCUGAUGGCGGCGGAGCAAGGGCUCACCGGAGCAGGGGGCCGCGGGCGCCAUGGGGCUCGGGGUCGCAGGGAAGAUGGGGAGCGACGUCGGGCGCUGUCGAGGGAGAUGAGUGAGGGGAUCGGGGAGAUGGCAUCGGUCAGAGGAGGGUCGAGUGCGGUUCCUCCUCUCUUGGCGGCGCUGAGGGAGGGAUCGAGAGGGAGAGGGCGCAGGAGGAUCGGGCAGAUGGAUAGCGCUAGGGUUGGAAAAGGGCGGCUGGGCCUUGGGAGGCCGGCCCAAUGGAAAGGAGAACGACAAGGGCCUGCUGGACUGCCUCUCCUACUCUUCUCCCUUAACCAAAAGAAAAAAAAAUAGAUAGAAGGGAAAAAAUAGAAAGAGAGGGUAUGGAUGGAAUUUGGGCAUGGAAGUUAAAUUCCCGGACUCACAAGAAUGCGCUGGUUCCAAGAAAAAUGGAAUAGCCAAGAUCGAACGAAAAGAAUUCAAACUCAUUUGGAAUUUAAUUCAAAUGGGUUUGAACUAGGACGAGGUUUUUGGAGUGACCAAAAAUGUUGAAAUUUUAGGUGGAGCUCCGGAAAAUGACGAAAGGAUUUAGGGAAAGUUUAGAGACGAGGAAAUAUAGUAAGAAAAGCAUGGAAUAUUUAUUAUAGCCCCCUAAUAUAGGGAGGAUAUGUUAUAAAGAGAAUCACCACGUGAAUUCCCUCGGUUUAAAUGGACCGAAGAUCCAUGCAAUUUAUUUAGUGAGUUAAGAAAAAGAAAUGACAUGAUGACAUGAUGCAAUGCACAUGAUGCAAUGAUGAAUGCAAUGAACCAAACAAAUAACACGACGAAACCCGAAAACCCUGGAAGGCAUCUGCAGCUCCGGUCUUGGGGCGUCACAUAUUCUCACAGAUUUGGGAUGCAACAAUGGUUAACCUGCUCUUCAUGUUUUUCGAUAAUUUCUUUGACCAUCUGUUAAUUAGGCAUUACUAUGUAUCCGGAUUUUUUCUAAGAUAUCUUUUAUGCCAUCAUGGCAUUGAACCAUGAGUGAAGCAAUGAUGUAAACAACUAUGGGGUAUAACCAUUUGGCUGUUGGACUAAACAUUACAUAUUUAGUAACUAUUUCGAAACACAAAAUUUCGUGAUGAAAAAAAUCAGCUUGUCCAUUUUCUUUUAUGGCUUGACUCUGUUCAAUCUUACAGAGAAAGGGACUGUUUUCUUUUUUUGUGACAUGACAGGAAGCAAGGUCAUGUGUGAGACGGAGGAGGCAACUGAUUUGGCUCUUCAUCACGUUGAGACUGUUGCAGCUAUGUGUGAUGUGUCAAUUUCUAUGAUGGGACAGAGGGUUGAAUCAGGAUGAUAUGGGUAAGAAAUAGCAAAUAAGUGACUAUUAGGGUGUCCAUACUAGCAACAUAAGUUACAUAAAUUUAUUGAUCUUGAACUAAUUUGCACAUUCUUUAUUUGUCCGUCAUUUAGUUUUGCUUCCAUCCGAAAAACAUAUAAAUCGGUAAUGAAGACAUGUACGGAUGAAAACUAUGUAAAUAUUGGACAACUAUUUAUUAACAAUUAUUUGA